AGCUUGCUACCUGACCUAGCGGCGGACGGGUGAGUAAUGCUUAGGAAUCUGCCUAUUAGUGGGGGACAACAUUCCGAAAGGAAUGCUAAUACCGCAUACGCCCUACGGGGGAAAGCAGGGGAUCUUCGGACCUUGCGCUAAUAGAUGAGCCUAAGUCAGAUUAGCUAGUUGGUGGGGUAAAGGCCUACCAAGGCGACGAUCUGUAGCGGGUCUGAGAGGAUGAUCCGCCACACUGGGACUGAGACACGGCCCAGACUCCUACGGGAGGCAGCAGUGGGGAAUAUUGGACAAUGGGCGAAAGCCUGAUCCAGCCAUGCCGCGUGUGUGAAGAAGGCCUUUUGGUUGUAAAGCACUUUAAGCGAGGAGGAGGCUACUUGGAUUAAUACUCUAGGAUAGUGGACGUUACUCGCAGAAUAAGCACCGGCUAACUCUGUGCCAGCAGCCGCGGUAAUACAGAGGGUGCGAGCGUUAAUCGGAUUUACUGGGCGUAAAGCGUGCGUAGGCGGCUUCUUAAGUCGGAUGUGAAAUCCCUGAGCUUAACUUAGGAAUUGCAUUCGAUACUGGGAAGCUAGAGUAUGGGAGAGGAUGGUAGAAUUCCAGGUGUAGCGGUGAAAUGCGUAGAGAUCUGGAGGAAUACCGAUGGCGAAGGCAGCCAUCUGGCCUAAUACUGACGCUGAGGUACGAAAGCAUGGGGAGCAAACAGGAUUAGAUACCCUGGUAGUCCAUGCCGUAAACGAUGUCUACUAGCCGUUGGGGCCUUUGAGGCUUUAGUGGCGCAGCUAACGCGAUAAGUAGACCGCCUGGGGAGUACGGUCGCAAGACUAAAACUCAAAUGAAUUGACGGGGGCCCGCACAAGCGGUGGAGCAUGUGGUUUAAUUCGAUGCAACGCGAAGAACCUUACCUGGUCUUGACAUAGUAAGAACUUUCCAGAGAUGGAUUGGUGCCUUCGGGAACUUACAUACAGGUGCUGCAUGGCUGUCGUCAGCUCGUGUCGUGAGAUGUUGGGUUAAGUCCCGCAACGAGCGCAACCCUUUUCCUUAUUUGCCAGCGAGUAAUGUCGGGAACUUUAAGGAUACUGCCAGUGACAAACUGGAGGAAGGCGGGGACGACGUCAAGUCAUCAUGGCCCUUACGACCAGGGCUACACACGUGCUACAAUGGUCGGUACAAAGGGUUGCUACCUAGCGAUAGGAUGCUAAUCUCAAAAAGCCGAUCGUAGUCCGGAUUGGAGUCUGCAACUCGACUCCAUGAAGUC
This 1255-nucleotide ribosomal RNA is filed under the name uncultured Acinetobacter sp. RNAcentral describes it as "bacterial SSU rRNA". It matches the Rfam family "Bacterial small subunit ribosomal RNA", at positions 77 to 1327 of the family's 1533-position model. The record is from RNAcentral. Lineage: Bacteria; Pseudomonadati; Pseudomonadota; Gammaproteobacteria; Moraxellales; Moraxellaceae.